CAACAGUUACUUUUGUUGAAGGCAACUCGGUGGACCACGGACAGGCCCUGAUGGUAGACUUCCUUUUCAUUUUAUACAGAGUCAGAUGUAAUGUUCUUUUCACACUGGCCAUCUGCUCUGUCUUAUAUGAAGAAGCAAAUUAAAAUUUAUAAUCUUCAGAGCACAGAAUUCUGAAAAUGUUAUUUUAAUGUCUGAAAACAAGAACAGAUCAGAUAAGAAAGGCAACAUGAGAAAACAGUUCAUGAAGAUCUUAGCCCCAGGAGCCAGGAGCACCUAAUGAAUAUAAAGAUUCUGAGUG
This is a long non-coding RNA of Lutra lutra (Eurasian river otter), 298 nucleotides long. RefSeq lists it as uncharacterized. The transcript is spliced from 3 exons. The record is from RefSeq and is a predicted model, not a curated record. NCBI's taxonomy places the organism in Eukaryota, Metazoa, Chordata, Mammalia, Carnivora, Mustelidae.